Molecule: ribosomal RNA, 428 nt
Filed under: uncultured prokaryote
Description: bacterial SSU rRNA
Rfam family: Bacterial small subunit ribosomal RNA
Source: RNAcentral
UGAGGAAUAUUGCGCAAUGGGGGAAACCCUGACGCAGCAACGCCGCGUGAGUGAGGAAGGUUUUCGGACCGUAAAGCUCUGUCGAGCGGGAAGAAGUGUAUCAUGGCUAAUAUCCAUGAUAUUUGACGGUACCGCUAAAGGAAGCACCGGCUAACUCCGUGCCAGCAGCCGCGGUAAUACGGGGGGUGCUAGCGUUGUUCGGAAUCAUUGGGCGUAAAGAGCGUGUAGGCGGCUGGACAAGUCAGAUGUGAAAGCCCUGGGCUUAACCCAGGAAGUGCAUUUGAAACUGUUCAGCUUGAGUAAGGGAGAGGAAAGUGGAAUUCCUGGUGUAGAGGUGAAAUUCGUAGAUAUCAGGAGGAACACCGGUGGCGAAGGCGACUUUCUGGCCCUAUACUGACGCUGAGACGCGAGAGCGUGGGUAGCAAACA